RNAcentral lists this long non-coding RNA (245 nucleotides) under Rattus norvegicus (Norway rat). RNAcentral's name for it is "long non-coding RNA NONRATT016872". Lineage: Eukaryota; Metazoa; Chordata; Mammalia; Rodentia; Muridae. The record is from RNAcentral.
AAAACCAGCAAUGAAAAGGUCUCCCUUUGUGGGAAGGCAGGAGAAAGCAAGAGGGGACAACUUUGAAGGUUAACAUAAAACCUCCCGGGUUUCAUCUGCCAAUGUCUGCCUAGACCUGUUUCACCAGCGCAGUCCACCAGUGUCUCCUGCACGUCAGGGUGCUUGCUUACGUUAACUGCCGUUCGCUGGGGGUUUAUAAAUCAAUCAGUGGGAAGUCUAUAUUCAUAAAGACUCUGAUCUGGUUA